RNAcentral lists this ribosomal RNA (924 nucleotides) under uncultured Bacteroidota bacterium. RNAcentral describes it as "bacterial SSU rRNA". It matches the Rfam family "Bacterial small subunit ribosomal RNA", at positions 1 to 916 of the family's 1533-position model. The record is from RNAcentral. Lineage: Bacteria; Pseudomonadati; Bacteroidota.
GGAUCCAGACUUUGAUUAUGGCUCAGGAUGAACGCUAGCUACAGGCUUAACACAUGCAAGUCGAGGGGAAACGACAUCGAAAGCUUGCUUUUGAUGGGCGUCGACCGGCGCACGGGUGAGUAACGCGUAUCCAACCUGCCCACCACUUGGGGAUAACCUUGCGAAAGUAAGACUAAUACCCAAUGACGUCUCUAGAAGACAUCUGAAAGAGAUUAAAGAUUUAUCGGUGAUGGAUGGGGAUGCGUCUGAUUAGCUUGUUGGCGGGGUAACGGCCCACCAAGGCGACGAUCAGUAGGGGUUCUGAGAGGAAGGUCCCCCACAUUGGAACUGAGACACGGUCCAAACUCCUACGGGAGGCAGCAGUGAGGAAUAUUGGUCAACGGGCGAGAGCCUGAACCAGCCAAGUAGCGUGCAGGAUGACGGCCCUAUGGGUUGUAAACUGCUUUUAUAAGGGAAUAAAGUGGGUCUCGUGAGACUUUUUGCAUGUACCUUAUGAAUAAGGACCGGCUAAUUCCGUGCCAGCAGCCGCGGUAAUACGGAAGGUCCGGGCGUUAUCCGGAUUUAUUGGGUUUAAAGGGAGCGUAGGCCGGAGAUUAAGCGUGUUGUGAAAUGUAGACGCUCAACGUCUGCACUGCAGCGCGAACUGGUUUCCUUGAGUACGCACAAAGUGGGCGGAAUUCGUGGUGUAGCGGUGAAAUGCUUAGAUAUCACGAAGAACUCCGAUUGCGAAGGCAGCUCACUGGAGCGCAACUGACGCUGAAGCUCGAAAGUGCGGGUAUCGAACAGGAUUAGAUACCCUGGUAGUCCGCACGGUAAACGAUGGAUGCCCGCUGUUGGUCUGAAUAGGUCAGCGGCCAAGCGAAAGCAUUAAGCAUCCCACCUGGGGAGUACGCCGGCAACGGUGCAACUCAAAGGAAUUGACGG